This 216-nucleotide ribosomal RNA is filed under the name Glomeromycotina sp. RNAcentral describes it as "partial small subunit ribosomal RNA". The stretch from base 40 to 216 matches the Rfam family "Eukaryotic small subunit ribosomal RNA", at positions 686 to 864 of the family's 1831-position model. The record is from RNAcentral. Lineage: Eukaryota; Fungi; Glomeromycota.
GGGUCAGUAGGUUGGUCGUGCCACCGGUACGUUCUGGUCUCACUGAUUCCUCCUUCCUGAAGAACCGUAAUGCCAUUAAUUUGGUGUUGCGGGGAAACAGGACUGUUACUUUGAAAAAAUUAGAGUGAUUAAAGCAAGCUAACGCUUGAAUACAUUAGCAUGGAAUAAUGAAAUAGGACGAUCGAUCCUAUUUUGUUGGUUUCUAGGAUUGACGUA